This 46-nucleotide small RNA is filed under the name Cyclobacterium marinum DSM 745. Its description in RNAcentral is "Acido-Lenti-1 RNA". It matches the Rfam family "Acido-Lenti-1 RNA". The record is from Rfam by way of RNAcentral. Lineage: Bacteria; Pseudomonadati; Bacteroidota; Cytophagia; Cytophagales; Cyclobacteriaceae.
CCAAGGGCUGACACCCUUGGCUGAUUUAUUACGCCCCUAUGGGGCU